CCAGACUCCUACGGGAGGCAGCAGUGGGGGAUAUUGCACAAUGGGGGAAACCCUGAUGCAGCGACGCCGCGUGGGCGAAGAAGUAUUUCGGUAUGUAAAGCCCUAUCAGCAGGGAAGACGAAAUGACGGUACCUGAGUAAGAAGCACCGGCUAAAUACGUGCCAGCAGCCGCGGUAAUACGUAUGGUGCAAGCGUUAUCCGGAUUUACUGGGUGUAAAGGGAGCGUAGACGGCAAGGCAAGUCUGGAGUGAAAGCCCGUGGCCCAACCACGGGACUGCUUUGGAAACUGUGUUGCUGGAGUGCAGGAGGGGUAAGCGGAAUUCCUAGUGUAGCGGUGAAAUGCGUAGAUAUUAGGAGGAACACCGGUGUCGAAGGCGGCUUACUGGACUGUAACUGACGUUGAGGCUCGAAGGCGUGGGGAGCAAACAGGAUUAGAUACCCGGGUAAG
RNAcentral lists this ribosomal RNA (448 nucleotides) under uncultured bacterium. RNAcentral's name for it is "bacterial SSU rRNA". It matches the Rfam family "Bacterial small subunit ribosomal RNA", at positions 331 to 793 of the family's 1533-position model. The record is from RNAcentral.